This 62-nucleotide transfer RNA is filed under the name Pterygocalyx volubilis. Its description in RNAcentral is "tRNA-Val". It matches the Rfam family "tRNA". Rfam says of the family: Transfer RNA (tRNA) molecules are approximately 80 nucleotides in length. Their secondary structure includes four short double-helical elements and three loops (D, anti-codon, and T loops). Further hydrogen bonds mediate the characteristic L-shaped molecular structure. tRNAs have two regions of fundamental functional importance: the anti-codon, which is responsible for specific mRNA codon recognition, and the 3' end, to which the tRNAs corresponding amino acid is attached (by aminoacyl-tRNA synthetases). tRNAs cope with the degeneracy of the genetic code in two manners: having more than one tRNA (with a specific anti-codon) for a particular amino acid; and 'wobble' base-pairing, i.e. permitting non-standard base-pairing at the 3rd anti-codon position. Lineage: Eukaryota; Viridiplantae; Streptophyta; Magnoliopsida; Gentianales; Gentianaceae. The record is from RNAcentral.
AGGGCUAUAGCUCAGUUGGUAGAGCAACUCGAAGGUCUACGGUUCGAGUCCGUAUAGCCCUA